GACGAACGCUGGCGGCGUGCCUAAUACAUGCAAGUAGAACGCUGAAGGAGGAGCUUGCUUCUCUGGAUGAGUUGCGAACGGGUGAGUAACGCGUAGGUAACCUGCCUGGUAGCGGGGGAUAACUAUUGGAAACGAUAGCUAAUACCGCAUAAGAGUAGAUGUCGCAUGACAUUUGCUUAAAAGGUGCAAUUGCAUCACUACCAGAUGGACCUGCGUUGGAUUAGCUAGUUGGUGAGGUAACGGCUCACCAAGGCAACGAUACAUAGUCGACCUGAGAGGGUGGGUGGCCGACCUGGGACGGGGACCCGGCCCAGUCGGCCUCAGGGAGGGGCCAGAGGGAAACGUGAGGAAUGGGCGGAAAACUGAGCGAGCAAGGCCGCGGCCGGACAGAAGGGUGUCGGGUCGUGAAGCUCGGUUGUCAGGGUAGAAACAGUUUGAGAAUGGAACGUUCACACUGUGACGGUACCUGAUCAGAAAGCAACGGCUAACUACGUG
This 495-nucleotide ribosomal RNA is filed under the name uncultured bacterium. Its description in RNAcentral is "partial 16S ribosomal RNA". It matches the Rfam family "Bacterial small subunit ribosomal RNA", at positions 28 to 507 of the family's 1533-position model. The record is from RNAcentral.